RNAcentral lists this transfer RNA (86 nucleotides) under Enterobius vermicularis (human pinworm). It matches the Rfam family "tRNA". From Rfam's summary of the family: Transfer RNA (tRNA) molecules are approximately 80 nucleotides in length. Their secondary structure includes four short double-helical elements and three loops (D, anti-codon, and T loops). Further hydrogen bonds mediate the characteristic L-shaped molecular structure. tRNAs have two regions of fundamental functional importance: the anti-codon, which is responsible for specific mRNA codon recognition, and the 3' end, to which the tRNAs corresponding amino acid is attached (by aminoacyl-tRNA synthetases). tRNAs cope with the degeneracy of the genetic code in two manners: having more than one tRNA (with a specific anti-codon) for a particular amino acid; and 'wobble' base-pairing, i.e. permitting non-standard base-pairing at the 3rd anti-codon position. Lineage: Eukaryota; Metazoa; Nematoda; Chromadorea; Rhabditida; Oxyuridae. The record is from Rfam by way of RNAcentral.
CCAACCAUAGCUCAGUUGGUAGAGCGGAGGACUGUAGAGUGAACGUAGAGAUCCUUAGGUCGCUGGUUCGAAUCCGGCUGGUUGGA